Molecule: transfer RNA, 70 nt
Organism: Cavia porcellus (domestic guinea pig)
Lineage: Eukaryota; Metazoa; Chordata; Mammalia; Rodentia; Caviidae
Rfam family: tRNA
About the family: Transfer RNA (tRNA) molecules are approximately 80 nucleotides in length.
Source: Rfam
GGGAAUUUAGCUUAGUGGCAUAAGCACCUGCCUUGUAAGCAGGCAGUUGUGAGUUCACUCCCUGGUACUG